AAUGUUUAUAACUGAAAAGUAACAUACUAAUAAAUAAAUUUUAGUAUGAAAUUUAACCUGUUGGAAUUGCAUCUUAGGAUAAAGUCCAAGUUUUCUAUUUGUCGUUAAAAGCUUCUUCAACAUGUCCCAAAAUCCACAUCAGGGUUCAAGCUCUUUCCACAAUCAUAUAUGAUGUCCUCUUGCAAAUUUUGGUUUCUCCAGUCUAAAGUUUUACUUCCACCUGUUUUUCCUACAAAAACAACAUUUUUUUAGUCACCUCGGGGUUAAACCUAUAAAAAGAGUAAAAUAUUUAAUAAAAUUAAAGUUUGAUGCUAUAGUUAUAAAAAGUGGUAAAUUUUUUUUAUAGAUCUGAUAUGGACAAUUUCAAUAUAAAAAUAUAAGUUAGAAGGUGUUGUUGUUUGAUUUACUUUGUCACAACUUCCCUACCUUUCAUAUUAGAUAUCCAUAAAGAUGUCCUAAAGAUCACAUACUUUCUCUUUCUUCCCAUCAACAACCACUUGUAAAAAAUCGUUGAUUAUACUGUCAAAACUCACAAAAAACAACUGAAAUAGAUAUCUUUAAUAAUAAAAACUAUGCAGAUAAAUUAUUGAUGUUGAAGCCCUUAUGUUAUUUACCAAAACUUAAUUAAAUAUAGAAUUUUCAGGCAAAAAGUAAGUGUAAAGAACACAGAAAACACUAAAACCAUAGAUUCAAACUACGUGUUAAUAAAGUAAGAACCAAACCAACAAAAUAUUGGUCCCAAUUGAGAAUUAAGCAGCAAAAGAACAAAAAGAAAAGAACCAAUUUUCUUUCGGCUCCCUUUUUUGUUGCCCAUUAGUCUGAGAAGGAAUAAGAUAAAAAAAUUACACCAGAAACCUUCCUUUUCAAAUGAUGUGUGUCAAUCUCUUCUGCAAAUGGGUACUCUACAGCUCCCUUUCUUCGCUCUGCUACAUCUUUUUACAGCGAAAACAACAAAUUAAGAUUCGAUGUGGAAACAAAGUUGAAUAUACACAACCCAAAUUAUCGUAGGGAAACAAUGGUUUGUCUUCAAGCCUUUAGAUGUCGGACUCAACUCCAAAAACGAAACCGGAAAAGAAAUUAGGGGUAACAGUCGAUUAAAAAUACCAAUCUCAGUCAGCUGAACCAAUUUAAUCUUUCAAUUCUACCGAUUUACAUACGUAAAUUUACAUAUACGUUUACACAAAAAGCUCAAUUUACCGUAGAAGAGUGUGUGUGUGUGUGUGUGUGUGUCUGUGUCUGAAUUAGAAAAAGAUACCUUAACAGCAGAAAUCGAGCUCUCUCUGUAGCUAUCACACAGAACUCCAUCGAUAUCCAACGGAUACAGAUCCCCCAUUUCUCUCUCUUUCUAAUCCAGUCGGUAGGAAACAACUGGAGAGCUUGAACUUGUCGUUGCAGUCCAAUAGAUUCCAACUGAAAGCCUUGAUUUUUGGCCUCGUUUGUUGUCGACGGCGGCAGCAAAAAACGGAAGUUGGAGGAUUAUAAGCGUUAUAGAAGUUGGAAGAUCCUUGAAGAUGAUAACGAAGAUAACACAAAAACUUGAUUUAGUGCUGGAAAGUUAGAGUUUGAGUAGAAAUACCUAUACCAGAAGCAACCUCGUCCAGUAUCGAUGUCAUUAGCCCUGUUUCGUCUCUCUAUCGAAGGUUUUUAUACAGGUAACCCCUAAUUUUCGUUUUCAGAAAUUACCCACAAUCAUAUGUUGAUUAUCGGCUGAGAAGGAGGUUCGGAUUUAAUCUGUGAUUUCAGAGAAGCGCCACCGUUGGUGGUAUCUGGAAAAUUAGGAACAUGUAGAAGUUAACAAUCGGGUGGAGAUAGAGAAAAAAAGGAAAGAGGGACGAUGCUAUAAUUGCAAAGCGGUUGGAGGUAGCGAAUAGUCUUUGAUCGAGAGAGAGAUGAUAAUUUGUAACACUUUGAUUGGAGAACAAAACGGUGGAGAAAGAGAAAGCGGACACGUAUCUGUAAGUAAGACUUGCCGGCC
This 1975-nucleotide long non-coding RNA is filed under the name Lactuca sativa (garden lettuce). RNAcentral's name for it is "long non-coding RNA (LSAT_LNC007586)". The record is from RNAcentral. Lineage: Eukaryota; Viridiplantae; Streptophyta; Magnoliopsida; Asterales; Asteraceae.